UGCGUGAUAGAAUAAUGGGGAAUUCACAGGAAUUUGGGCCCUGCCUAUCCCAGUUCGAAUCUGGGUCACGCAU
Molecule: transfer RNA, 73 nt
Filed under: Austropuccinia psidii
Lineage: Eukaryota; Fungi; Basidiomycota; Pucciniomycetes; Pucciniales; Sphaerophragmiaceae
Description: tRNA-Gln
Source: RNAcentral